Macaca fascicularis (crab-eating macaque) is the source of this 1972-nucleotide long non-coding RNA. Lineage: Eukaryota; Metazoa; Chordata; Mammalia; Primates; Cercopithecidae. The record is from Ensembl.
CCAGCCAGAAUCGCGUCUGGCCGGUGGGAAGCCGGGAACUCCAGCCUCCCGCAGGACAGGAGAAAGGAGCGAGCUGCACCAGGGCAAGCAUGGAGUAGACAAGGUUGAAUUUCAUCAAGAUUAGUAGCUUUGCAAGGGUCCUGGAGAAUGCUGCUUCAUUGUCAUGUCAAUGUCUUCUGCCUCCCACCCUGAAGUGUGUGAGCAACAACCAAGACACCAUUUGGGUGGCUUGUUUUAAUCCUACCUCUCACUGUUUAGCCUCUAAACGUUCAUUAACAGACACAGUGUUCUCCCUCUCCAGAGAAUGAAGCAUCCAAGGCACCAUCUUGGAAGCAAGGACUAGACCCUCAUCAAAACCCUUGAUCUUGGACUUCCCAGGCUCCAGAACAGUGGGAGAUAAAUUUUUGUUUCCUAUAAAAUACCCAGUCUGUAGUAUUCUAUUAUAGCAGUGCAAAAUGAACUAGACACAUGCUAACAAAUUAGCCUGUUAAAAUUUCAUGGAAUGCUGGCAGAAGACAUGAGACUCAUGGGUCAGAAACAAAGGACUUUAUAGUAUCCAGAGCUUCAUGUUGAUUUGUGUCAGUCCCAUGUGCUUCCCAAAUCUCACUGUAUGACACAAAGAGCCCAUAAUGAAUGUCUACACACAUAGUGGGUUGUGGUACAGGAGAGGACCACUAAGCUUGGAUGAGUCACUACUGGUAUAGUAAGCACAAGCAAGCCUAUUUUUUGUCAGGAGGAAGAUAUUACAUCAUUCUGUAAGAUUUCUCACUGCAAACACAACUCUUAGAAAUGGCCUAGAAAAAGAAAGGGCAAUACCUGGCAAGACUGUGCAGGGAUGCUCAGAGCCCAUAGUGGACUGCCUGUCCAAAGAAAUUCUUUGUCUUUUGCUACUUAGCCAUAAAUUGAAUAUUUAAAGAUUAAAUUACAUGUGUGAUUUUUGGAAUUGAAUAUUAGAGGAGCCCUGGGAAAAUAGUUAAAAUAGUAGUAAGAGUUACUGAUUACCUGCCAUUUUCCAGAAACUGUUUUAAAUCCUUUACAUGCUGUAUUAAUUAGAUAGGACUGCUUUAAUGAAGUACCACAAACUGGGUACAGAAAUUUAUUUUUUCAAAGUUACGAUGAAUAGAAGACUGAGAUUAAGGUGUGGACAGGAUUUGUUUCUUCUGAGGCCUCACUCCUUGCCUUGUAGAUGGCCACUUUCUUGUGUCCUCAGUCUUCCCUCUAUGUGUGCACAUCCCUGGUGUCUAUUUUUGUGUCCAAAUUUCCUCUUAUAAGGACCCCAGUCAGACUGGAUUAGGGCCCACCCCAAUGGCCUCAUUUUAAUUACCUCUUUAAGGGCCCUAUCUCCAAAUACAGUCACAUUCUGAGAUACUGGGAGUUAGGGCUUUAAUAUAUUAAUUUAAGGGGACACAAACCCAUAAUACAUAUAUUCUCUCAAUCUUUGCAACAUCCAUUUUCUCCGUUUUAUAGAUGAGGAAAUAGCCUUAGUAUGGUUAAGAAACUGGCCCAAUAUCUCACAGCUGGUAGGAGGCAGCACUGGGAUUUGGACCAAAAUUUUAUUGGCUCUGAAGUCUGUGUCCCUAAGCAUUAAUUAUGACAUGAAACGUUUUUUUCUGUAAGGUAACAACAAAACAAGAAGAAAAGAGAAUGCCUGGUUUAUUUAUAGGGCUAAUUUAAAUGUGUUAGAAAUGUACCUUGAUUAUCUUCAUGCUUGGGAAUGGCAAAAUAAUAUCAUUUUGUAUUGUGCUAAAUAAUGAAUUUUUUUGCUUUAGUGGUUGUUUAAAUGUGACCACAUGAAAACCUUGCACAGGCAAUCAUCUCAGUUAUAUAUAUAGCCUUUGUUCUAUGUUGGAAUAAUAACAAUGUUGAAUGUUAAACUGUUUUUAAAAAUAAAAUGUAUGAUUUUACCUAGGUAGAUACUGGUACUUUUAUUUUCCCUCUGUAUAACAUUAAAACUUAUUUUUGUUAAAAUAUU